GGUUGAUCCUGCCGGACCCGACUGCUAUCAGAGUGGGACUAAGCCAUGCGAGUCAACAUAGCAAUAUGUGGCAUACGGCUCAGUAACACGUAGUCAACAUGCCCAGGGGACGUGGAUAACCUCGGGAAACUGAGGAUAAACCGCGAUAAGUCACUACUUCUGGAAUGGGUAAUGACUCAAAUCUAUAUGGCCCCUGGAUUGGACUGCGGCCGAUCAGGCUGUUGGUGAGGUAAUGGCCCACCAAACCUGUAACCGGUACGGGCUCUGAGAGGAGGAGCCCGGAGAUGGGCACUGAGACAAGGGCCCAGGCCCUAUGGGGCGCAGCAGGCGCGAAACCUCUGCAAUAGGCGAAAGCUUGACAGGGUUACUCUGAGUGAUUUCCGUUAAGGAAAUCUUUUGGCACCUCUAAAAAUGGUGCAGAAUAAGGGGUGGGCAAGUCUGGUGUCAGCCGCCGCGGUAAUACCAGCACCCCGAGUGGUCGGGACGUUUAUUGGGCCUAAAGCAUCCGUAGCCGGUUCUACAAGUCUUCCGUUAAAUCCAACUGCUUAACAGGUGGGCUGCGGAAGAUACUAUAGAGCUAGGAGGCGGGAGAGGCAAGCGGUACUCGAUGGGUAGGGGUAAAAUCCGUUGAUCCAUUGAAGACACCAG
Molecule: ribosomal RNA, 648 nt
Filed under: uncultured archaeon
Lineage: Archaea
Description: bacterial SSU rRNA
Rfam family: Archaeal small subunit ribosomal RNA
Source: RNAcentral